RNAcentral lists this ribosomal RNA (495 nucleotides) under Triticum aestivum (bread wheat). RNAcentral's name for it is "partial small subunit ribosomal RNA". Lineage: Eukaryota; Viridiplantae; Streptophyta; Magnoliopsida; Poales; Poaceae. The record is from RNAcentral.
AUGGGAGACCUGAAUGAUAUUCUCUAUUCUUUUGAGAAGGAAGGAGGUAGAGCGAGGCCGGAGAAUUACAUGAAAGCUUUCCAGGACACUCUGGAUGAAUGCCAACUUAAUGACUGUGGAUUCUUAGGGGACAAGUUUACGUGGCAUCGUGGGAAUAUACGGGAAAGGCUUGACCGGGCUUUGGCCAAUGAUGCAUGGAACAAUUUAUUUGCAAAUUCAGUGGUGCAGCACCUGAACUAUUACAAGUCUGACCAUAGGUCGAUUCUUAUGUCAAUUGGGGAGGAGAUGGCACAGGAGAGAGAUGGUAAUAAACUAUUGAGAUUUGAGUCUAGGUGGUUAAAAGAAAAAGAUUUCGCUACGAUUGUGCAAGGUGCCUGGGAGCAUUCUGGACCUACAGCACAGUCGGUCUCCUUGGCAGCGAGGUUGUCGAUCGUACACGACAUCUUGCACAGGUGGGACAGGACUGUUCGGAAUCGAACAAAGAAUAAAUUGUGA